Ornithorhynchus anatinus (platypus) is the source of this 681-nucleotide long non-coding RNA. RefSeq lists it as uncharacterized. The record is from RefSeq and is a predicted model, not a curated record. Lineage: Eukaryota; Metazoa; Chordata; Mammalia; Monotremata; Ornithorhynchidae. The transcript has 2 exons.
CUUUGGGGUCUCCUGGCAGGACCGGCCGGACUUCGGUCUGCCCGGGGGAGGCUGCGGUUUGUCGGGGAGCUGGAGGACGGACGCUGCCGGCGGCAGGGCGACGAUCUACUCCGUGUUGGUGCGGAGGUGUCGAUUCUGCCUUCUGUUCUCUGUUGCAUCGUCCCGGAGCUGGAGAGCUUCAGCCGUCGCCUGCACUCACUCUGCGUUGGAGUUCUUGCUUCCCGCGGGCGAUCUCCGCAGCUGCCUGCAAUUCCGGCUCCCUAAUCAGGAUCUGGUGCUCCUCGGAAAGGGGAGGUUUUGUUUUCUUUUCUGUCUGGGUCUCGCCCUGGGAGUCGAGGGAUGAGCUUUCAGGGGUAGGACCUUGACGUGCAGCCUUCCCCCGGGAGGGAGGAGGUGGGUUUUGGACAAGGCGCCCGGGGCUCUCUGGGUGGGGCCGUGGCUGUGUCUGCGGGCCUGUGGGGUGGAGAAGUUCUGGGUUCCAGAAUUUCUCUUUUAAAAGGAUGUCACCUCCGUGGGCCUAAAGCCCGGCGUGCGGGGUGACCCUGGACACUUUGGGGUCCCCGAGCAGGGAUCUCCUUAUUCUGGCCCGUGGUGGUUUCUGGGAGUCGAGUUCGAGGAAUGAAGCUGGAAGACCGCCCCCCGUCUCCCACUAAUUCUAUUCCUCUUUGAAAAGGAGCGUUA